CCUACGGGUGGCAGCAGUGAGGAAUAUUGGUCAAUGGACGAGAGUCUGAACCAGCCAAGUAGCGUGAAGGAUGACUGCCCUAUGGGUUGUAAACUUCUUUUAUAUGGGAAUAAAAUGUUCCACGUGUGGGGUUUUGUAUGUACCAUAUGAAUAAGGAUCGGCUAACUCCGUGCCAGCAGCCGCGGUAAUACGGAGGAUCCGAGCGUUAUCCGGAUUUAUUGGGUUUAAAGGGAGCGUAGGUGGAUGGUUAAGUCAGUUGUGAAAGUUUGCGGCUCAACCGUAUAAUUGCAGUUGAAACUGGCAGUCUUGAGUAGGGUAGAGGUGGGCGGAAUGCGUGGUGUAGCGGUGAAAUGCUUAGAUAUCACGAAGAACUCCGAUUGCGAAGGCAGCGCACUGGACUGCAACUGACACUGAGGCACGAAAGUGUGGGUAUCAAACAGGAUUAGAUACCCUUGUAGUC
RNAcentral lists this ribosomal RNA (460 nucleotides) under uncultured bacterium. RNAcentral describes it as "partial 16S ribosomal RNA". It matches the Rfam family "Bacterial small subunit ribosomal RNA", at positions 338 to 795 of the family's 1533-position model. The record is from RNAcentral.